This 84-nucleotide transfer RNA is filed under the name Rhizoctonia solani 123E. It matches the Rfam family "tRNA". Rfam says of the family: Transfer RNA (tRNA) molecules are approximately 80 nucleotides in length. Their secondary structure includes four short double-helical elements and three loops (D, anti-codon, and T loops). Further hydrogen bonds mediate the characteristic L-shaped molecular structure. tRNAs have two regions of fundamental functional importance: the anti-codon, which is responsible for specific mRNA codon recognition, and the 3' end, to which the tRNAs corresponding amino acid is attached (by aminoacyl-tRNA synthetases). tRNAs cope with the degeneracy of the genetic code in two manners: having more than one tRNA (with a specific anti-codon) for a particular amino acid; and 'wobble' base-pairing, i.e. permitting non-standard base-pairing at the 3rd anti-codon position. Lineage: Eukaryota; Fungi; Basidiomycota; Agaricomycetes; Cantharellales; Ceratobasidiaceae. The record is from Rfam by way of RNAcentral.
GGGCGCGUAGUGGAGUGGUUACCACGUUGGUCUUCGAUUUCCGAAUCGAACCAAAGUUCAUCAGUUCGAUCCUGGUCGUGCUCA